RNAcentral lists this ribosomal RNA (1707 nucleotides) under human gut metagenome. Its description in RNAcentral is "bacterial LSU rRNA". It matches the Rfam family "Bacterial large subunit ribosomal RNA", at positions 1118 to 2925 of the family's 2925-position model. The record is from RNAcentral.
CUCAUUAAAAGAGUGCGUAAUAGCUCACUGGUCGAGUGACUCUGCGCCGAAAAUUCAACGGGGCUAAAAUUCAUACCGAAGCUUGGGCUUGACAGAAAUGUCAGGGGUAGGGGAGCGUCGUAUACGAGGUGAAGUCAUAGCGGAAGCGGUGGUGGAUUGUAUACGAGUGAGAAUGCCGGAAUGAGUAGCGAGAAUUAUGUGAGAAUCAUAAUGGCCGAAAGUCUAAGGUUUCCUGAGGAAGGUUCGUCCUCUCAGGGUUAGCCGGGAGCUAAGGUGAGGCGGAAACGCGUAGCCGAUGCACAUACGGUAGAAAUUCCGUAGCCUCCGAAGAUUUAAGCACAGGGACACUUUUGAAGGGCUGAGCCGGGCGUUGGUUGCCCUGGUCGAAAGGGACACGAUUGAGUGGAAGUCAGUUUGGAAAGAGGCGAGAAAAGCUGUGUGUAUAUGAAAGGAGCCCGUACCGCAAACCGACACAGGUAGACAGGAAGAAGAUUCUAAGGCCAGCGGGAGAAGGGUUGUUAAGGAACUCGGCAAGUUGACCCCGUAACUUCGGGAGAAGGGGUGCUUACGAAGGUAAGCCGCAGAGAAUAGGCCCAAGCGACUGUUUAGCAAAAACACAGCUCUAUGCUAAAUCGAAAGAUGACGUAUAUGGGGUGACACCUGCCCGGUGCUGGAAGGUUAAGAGGAGAUGUGAGAGCAUUGAAUUGAAGCCCCAGUAAACGGCGGCCGUAACUAUAACGGUCCUAAGGUAGCGAAAUUCCUUGUCAGGUAAGUUCUGACCCGCACGAAUGGUGUAACGAUUUGGGCACUGUCUCAACAACCCACCCGGCGAAAUUGUAGUACCGGUGAAGAUGCCGGUUACCCGCGACUAGACGGAAAGACCCCAUGGAGCUUCACUGCAGCUUAAUAUUGGAUUUCGGUAUUUCAUGUACAGGAUAGGUGGGAGACUGGGAAAUACAGGCGUCAGCUUGUAUGGAGUCAUUGUUGGGAUACCACUCUUGAGGUGCUGGAAUUCUAACCUGUGGCCUUGAAUCAGGUCAGGGGACAUUGUUAGGCGGGCAGUUUGACUGGGGCGGUCGCCUCCUAAAAGGUAACGGAGGCGCUCAAAGGUUCGCUCAGCAUGGACGGAAACCAUGCCAAAGAGUGUAAACGCAUAAGCGAGCCUAACUGCGAGACUGACGGGUCGAGCAGUAACGAAAGUUGGAGUUAGUGAUCCGGCGGUAUGUGAGUGGAAAUGCCGUCGCUCAACGGAUAAAAGCUACCCUGGGGAUAACAGGCUGAUCUCCCCCAAGAGUCCACAUCGACGGGGAGGUUUGGCACCUCGAUGUCGGCUCAUCGCAUCCUGGGGCUGAAUUCGGUCCCAAGGGUUUGGCUGUUCGCCAAUUAAAGCGGUACGCGAGCUGGGUUCAGAACGUCGUGAGACAGUUCGGUCCCUAUCUGUCGUGGGCGUUGGAGAUUUGAAAGGAGCUGUCCCUAGUACGAGAGGACCGGGAUGGACGCACCUCUGGUGCACCAGUUGUCACGCCAGUGGCACAGCUGGGCAGCUAUGUGCGGAACGGAUAAACGCUGAAAGCAUCUAAGCGUGAAGCCGCCCUUAAGAUAAGAUCUCCUUUAAGACCCCUUGUAGACUACGAGGUUGAUAGGUCUGAUGUGUAAGCACGGUGACGUGUUUAGCUUGCAGAUACUAAUCGGUCGUUCGCUUUUCCU